Molecule: ribosomal RNA, 158 nt
Filed under: uncultured Eubacterium sp.
Lineage: Bacteria; Bacillati; Bacillota; Clostridia; Eubacteriales; Eubacteriaceae
Description: partial 16S ribosomal RNA
Rfam family: Bacterial small subunit ribosomal RNA
Source: RNAcentral
ACUAUAACUGACGCUCAGGCACGAAAGCGUGGGGAUCAAACAGGAUUAGAUACCCUGGUAGUCCACGCAGUAAACGAUGAACACUCGUUGUCGGGGAUAUACAUUCGGUGGCCAAGCGAAAGUGAUAAGUGUUCCACCUGGGGAGUACGUUCGCAAGU